UACACGGCCUGUAAUGCAUACUCUGACUCGGACUAUGGCCUUAGCUCAAUUGGACUGCAUGUACCAACUCUCUCACUGCAUCUUUCAAUUUGUUGUGCCUGUCAUGAUGCCACCAAAGGGAACGAGGCUCAAACCGCGGGAUGCACCGCCAGCUCACCGUGACAUGGAAUAUAAAACAAGAUCCAGUCAGCUUGCAGGAGGAAGAAGAAGAGAGAGGCCAGUGUGGGUGUCAGGAUGAGACCAGAACAGGACCAGCCAUAACAGAUGAGUCAUAUACACACUCACACAUAUUGGAUAUCUGAAAAAGCUUAAUGUAAAAGCCAAUAGCCCUAAAUAUGAUAGAAAUGCUUCAUUAAGUACAGGAGACAUGUUGGAAGGAGAGACAUUGUCAUGCAAUGGCUGCUCGAGUCUGUAGAGCGGUAGGAGAAAUAACAGCGCUUUUACAAAUGUCUGAUUGUAGCUCGCUGCUAAAUACAUCAACACAACUGUGAUAUUAACAGCAAAGAUGCUGAAACCGUAGGCUGUACAUUCGAAAUCCAAGUAGUCGUCUUCGUUCAUCAUGUACCCAACUGUCAAUAAUCCUGAUGUCCACUCAUAUGUGCUGUGAUUUAUCAUCUAUUUCCCUCUUAACAGUAACAGAAUUAAACUGGCAAUCCUGAAACCCUUAAGUGGUAACUGGUCAUGGCAUCAUCCACAAUCUGAAUUAUGU
This is a long non-coding RNA of Solea solea (common sole), 709 nucleotides long. RefSeq lists it as uncharacterized. The transcript has 3 exons. The record is from RefSeq and is a predicted model, not a curated record. NCBI's taxonomy places the organism in Eukaryota, Metazoa, Chordata, Actinopteri, Pleuronectiformes, Soleidae.